UUUCCCAGUCACGAUAUGGUCCCCAAAUCUAUACUAAGUUGAACAAAGGAGGUCUGAUUGCAGAGACAGCCAGGAUGUUAGCUUGGUAGCAGCUAUACAUUUAAAGAGUGCGUAACAGCUCACUGGUCGAGAGGGAAAGAACCCAGACCAACAGUUAAGGUCCCAAAAUCUAUACUAAGUUGAACAAAGGAGGUCUGAUUGCAGAGACAGCCAGGAUGUUAGCUUGGAAGCAGCUAUUCAUUUAAAGAGUGCGUAACAGCUCACUGGUCGAGCGAGGCGGGCAUCGAUAAUAAACGGGCAUCAAGUAUAGUACCGAAGCUUUGGAUUAUGUAGCGAUACAUACUGGUAGGGGAGCAUUCUGAUAGCGAUGAAGGUGAAUCGACAAGGUUUGCUGGAGUGAUCAGAAAAGCAAAUGUAGGGAUAAGUAACGAUAAUGGGGGCGAGAAACCCCCACGCCGAAAGACUAAGGUUUCCUGAUCAACGCUAAUCGGAUCAGGGUUAGUCGGGUCCUAAGGCUCCGCCGAAAGGCAAUGCCGAUGGCUGAAAUGGUUAAUAUUCCAUUACUACCUUUAAGAGUGAUGUGGGGACGGAGUAGUGACAGUGCCGCGAACUGACGGAAUAGUUCGUUAAAGGGUGUAGAAGUUGAGGAAUGCAGGCAAAUCCACAUUCCGAUUCGAACCUGAUAGUAUGGAGCGUCUUCGGACAAUCCAAUAGUGCAUGUAAUCAGACUUCCAAGAAAAUCCGCUAAACUUAAUCUUCUAGGUACCCGUACCGUAAACGGACACACGUAGUCGGGUUGAAUAUACUAAGGCGCUUGAGUGAAUCACGGUUAAGGAACUAGGCAAAUUGACCCUGUAACUUCGGGAUAAAGGGUCCCUCCUCGCAAGAGAGGGCGCAGAGAAUAGGUCCAGGCAACUGUUUAACAAAAACACAGGGCUGUGCAAAAUCGAAAGAUCACGUAUACAGCCUGACACCUGCCCGGUGCUGGAAGGUUAAGAGGAGAUGUUAUCGCAAGAGACGCAUUGAAUUGAAGCCCCAGUAAACGGCGGCCGUAACUAUAACGGUCCUAAGGUAGCGAAAUUCCUUGUCGGGUAAGUUCCGACCUGCACGAAUGGUGUAAUGAUCUGGACACUGUCUCAACCGUGAGCUCAGUGAAAUUGUAGUAUCGGUGAAGAUGCCGAUUACCCGCGAUGGGACGAAAAGACCCCGUGAACCUUUACUAUAGCUUAUCAUUGAAUUUGGGCACGUGAUGUGUAGGAUAGGUCGGAGGCCUUGAAGCAUGUACGCCAGUAUUUGUGGAGCCGUUGUUGAAAUACGACCCUUCAUUUGUUUGAGUUCUAACUUCCUUGAUGGAAGGACACUGAUUGGUGGGUAGUUUGACUGGGGUGGUCGCCUCCAAAAGAGUAACGGAGGCUUCUAAAGGUGCCCUCAGGCCGAUUGGUAACCGGUCUUAGAGUGUAAUGGCAAAAGGGCGCUUGACUGGGAGACAGACAGGCCGAGCAGGUAGGAAACUAGAGCAUAGUGAUCCGGUGGUUCCGUAUGGAAGGGCCAUCGCUCAAAGGAUAAAAGGUACUCCGGGGAUAACAGGCUGAUCUCCCCCAAGAGCUCAUAUCGACGGGGAGGUUUGGCACCUCGAUGUCGGCUCGUCGCAUCCUGGGGCUGGAGAAGGUCCCAAGGGUUCGGCUGUUCGCCGAUUAAAGUGGCACGCGAGCUGGGUUCAGAACGUCGUGAGACAGUUCGGUCCCUAUCUGUUGUGGGCGUUAGAAAUUUGCGAAGGUCUGACACUAGUACGAGAGGACCGUGUUGGACGAACCUCUGGUCUACGGGUUGUUCCGCCAGGAGCACUGCCCGGUAGCUACGUUCGGUUAGGAUAAGUGCUGAAAGCAUCUAAGCACGAAGCCAUCUUCAAGAUUAGAUUUCUUUAUAAGGGUCGUGGAAGACUACCACGUUGAUAGGUUACAGGUGUACAACAGAAAUGUAAAGCCGAGUAAUACUAAUUGCCCGAUAGCUUUUUUUA
This 2017-nucleotide ribosomal RNA is filed under the name freshwater metagenome. Its description in RNAcentral is "bacterial LSU rRNA". It matches the Rfam family "Bacterial large subunit ribosomal RNA", at positions 905 to 2925 of the family's 2925-position model. The record is from RNAcentral.